GAUGAACGCUAGCGAUAGGCUUAACACAUGCAAGUCGAGGGGCAGCGAGGGUAGCAAUACCUGUCGGCGACCGGCGCACGGGUGAGUAACGCGUAUGUAACCUGCCCGCAACAGGGGGAUAACCCGGCGAAAGUCGGACUAAUACCGCAUAAAACAGGGGUCCCGCAUGGGAAUAUUUGUUAAAGAUUUAUCGGUUGCGGAUGGGCAUGCGUACCAUUAGGUAGUUGGUGAGGUAACGGCUCACCAAGCCUUCGAUGGUUAGGGGUUCUGAGAGGAAGGUCCCCCAGACUGGUACUGAGACACGGACCAGACUCAUAAGGGAGGCAGCAGUGAGGAAUAUUGGUCAAUGGGCGAGAGCCUGAACCAGCCAAGUCGCGUGAAGGAUGACUGACGUAUGGGUUGUAAACUUCUUUUACAAGGGAAUAAAAUGAGAUACGUGUAUUUUAUUGCAUGUACCUUGGGAAUAAGCAUCGGCUAACUCCGUG
Molecule: ribosomal RNA, 485 nt
Filed under: uncultured bacterium
Lineage: Bacteria
Description: partial 16S ribosomal RNA
Rfam family: Bacterial small subunit ribosomal RNA
Source: RNAcentral